AUGAACGCUGGCGGCAUGCCUAAGACAUGCAAGUCGAACGAGACGGCCAAUGAAGAUGGAGUGCUUGCACAAAGUUGGACUUGGAUCCCCGUCUAGUGGCGCAAGGGUGAGUAACGCGUAGGUAACUACCUUGAGACUGGGAUAACAGUUAGAAAUGACUGCUAACACCGGAUGAUAUGUAAGAGGUAAACUUUUUACAUUAAAAGGAGCCUUUAAAGCUUCACUUAAAGAUGAGCCUGCGUCGUAUUAGCUAGUUGGUGGGGUAAUGGCCUACCAAGGCGACGAUGCGUAGCCGACCUGAGAGGGUGAUCGGCCACACUGGGACUGAGACACGGCCCAGACUCCUACGGGAGACAGCAGUUAGGAAUAUUCGUCAAUGGGGGAAACCCUGAACGAGCAAUGCCGCGUGAAGGAUGACGGUCCUAUGGAUUGUAAACUUCUGUUGUUAGGGAAGAACGACCUAAGUAGGAAAUGACUUAGGAGUGACGGUACCUUUCAAGAAAGCUCCGGCCAACUACGUGCCAGCCGCCGC
RNAcentral lists this ribosomal RNA (532 nucleotides) under uncultured bacterium. Its description in RNAcentral is "bacterial SSU rRNA". It matches the Rfam family "Bacterial small subunit ribosomal RNA", at positions 29 to 518 of the family's 1533-position model. The record is from RNAcentral.